AUUGAACGCUGGCGGCAGGCCUAACACAUGCAAGUCGAGCGAGCGGCGGACGGGUGAGUAAUGUCUGGGAAACUGCCUUAUGGAGGGGGAUAACUACUGGAAACGGUAGCUAAUACCGCAUACCAUCAGAUGUGCCCAGAUGGGAUUAGCUAGUAGGUGGGGUAACGGCUCACCUAGGCGACGAUCCCUAGCUGGUCUGAGAGGAUGACCAGCCAAACUGGAACGGAGACACGGUCCAGACUCCUACGGGAGGCAGCAGUGGGGAAUAGUGGACAAUGGGGGCAAGCCUGAUGCAGCCAUGCCGGGUGUAUGAAGAAGGCCUUCGGGUUGUAAAGUACUUUCGGCGGGGAGGCGUUACCCGCAGAAGAAGCACCGGCUAACUCCGUGCCAGCAGCCGCGGUAAUAC
This 406-nucleotide ribosomal RNA is filed under the name uncultured bacterium. RNAcentral describes it as "partial 16S ribosomal RNA". It matches the Rfam family "Bacterial small subunit ribosomal RNA", at positions 29 to 526 of the family's 1533-position model. The record is from RNAcentral.